RNAcentral lists this ribosomal RNA (253 nucleotides) under uncultured bacterium. RNAcentral's name for it is "partial 16S ribosomal RNA". It matches the Rfam family "Bacterial small subunit ribosomal RNA", at positions 524 to 776 of the family's 1533-position model. The record is from RNAcentral.
UACGGAGGGUGCUAGCGUUGUUCGGAAUCACUGGGCGUAAAGCGCGCGUAGGCGGUUUGUUAAGUCGGGGGUGAAAUCCCGAGGCUCAACCUCGGAACUGCCUUCGAUACUGGCUAUCUUGAGUCCGGGAGAGGUGAGUGGAACUCCUAGUGUAGAGGUGAAAUUCGUAGAUAUUAGGAAGAACACCGGUGGCGAAGGCGGGUCUCUGGGCCGUAACUGACGCUGAGGAGCGAAAGCAUGGGGAGCGAACAGG